GAAAGGGGGCAACUUGUUGCUCUCGCUAUUAGAUGAGCCUAAGUCGGAUUAGCUAGAUGGUGGGGUAAAGGCCUACCAUGGCGACGAUCUGUAGCUGGUCUGAGAGGAUGAUCAGCCACACCGGGACUGAGACACGGCCCGGACUCCUACGGGAGGCAGCAGUGGGGAAUAUUGGACAAUGGGGGCAACCCUGAUCCAGCCAUGCCGCGUGUGUGAAGAAGGCCUUUUGGUUGUAAAGCACUUUAAGCAGUGAAGAAGACUCCAUGGUUAAUACCCAUGGACGAUGACAUUAGCUGCAGAAUAAGCACCGGCUAACUCUGUGCCAGCAGCCGCGGUAAUACAGAGGGUGCAAGCGUUAAUCGGAAUUACUGGGCGUAAAGCGAGCGUAGGUGGCUUGAUAAGUCAGAUGUGAAAGCCCCGGGCUUAACCUGGGAACGGCAUCUGAUACUGUUAGGCUAGAGUAGGUGAGAGGAAGGUAGAAUUCCAGGUGUAGCGGUGAAAUGCGUAGAGAUCUGGAGGAAUACCGAUGGCGAAGGCAGCCUUCUGGCAUCAUACUGACACUGAGGUUCGAAAGCGUGGGUAGCAAACAGGAUUAGAUACCCUGGUAGUCCACGCCGUAAACGAUGUCUACUAGUCGUUGGGUCCCUUGAGGACUUAGUGACGCAGCUAACGCAAUAAGUAGACCGCCUGGGGAGUACGGCCGCAAGGUUAAAACUCAAAUGAAUUGACGGGGGCCCGCACAAGCGGUGGAGCAUGUGGUUUAAUUCGAUGCAACGCGAAGAACCUUACCUGGUCUUGACAUAUCUAGAAUCCUGCAGAGAUGCGGGAGUGCCUUCGGGAAUUAGAAUACAGGUGCUGCAUGGCUGUCGUCAGCUCGUGUCGUGAGAUGUUGGGUUAAGUCCCGCAACGAGCGCAACCCUUGUCCUUAGUUACCAGCGGUUUGGCCGGGAACUCUAAGGAUACUGCCAGUGACAAACUGGAGGAAGGCGGGGACGACGUCAAGUCAUCAUGGCCCUUACGACCAGGGCUACACACGUGCUACAAUGGUAGGUACAGAGGGCAGCUACACAGCGAUGUGAUGCGAAUCUCAAAAAGCCUAUCGUAGUCCAGAUUGGAGUCU
Molecule: ribosomal RNA, 1120 nt
Filed under: Psychrobacter sp.
Lineage: Bacteria; Pseudomonadati; Pseudomonadota; Gammaproteobacteria; Moraxellales; Moraxellaceae
Description: bacterial SSU rRNA
Rfam family: Bacterial small subunit ribosomal RNA
Source: RNAcentral